RNAcentral lists this ribosomal RNA (550 nucleotides) under Salmonella enterica. Its description in RNAcentral is "bacterial SSU rRNA". It matches the Rfam family "Bacterial small subunit ribosomal RNA", at positions 993 to 1533 of the family's 1533-position model. The record is from RNAcentral. Lineage: Bacteria; Pseudomonadati; Pseudomonadota; Gammaproteobacteria; Enterobacterales; Enterobacteriaceae.
GAAGUUUUCAGAGAUGAGAAUGUGCCUUCGGGAACCGUGAGACAGGUGCUGCAUGGCUGUCGUCAGCUCGUGUUGUGAAAUGUUGGGUUAAGUCCCGCAACGAGCGCAACCCUUAUCCUUUGUUGCCAGCGGUUAGGUCGGGAACUCAAAGGAGACUGCCAGUGAUAAACUGGAGGAAGGUGGGGAUGACGUCAAGUCAUCAUGGCCCUUACGACCAGGGCUACACACGUGCUACAAUGGCGCAUACAAAGAGAAGCGACCUCGCGAGAGCAAGCGGACCUCAUAAAGUGCGUCGUAGUCCGGAUUGGAGUCUGCAACUCGACUCCAUGAAGUCGGAAUCGCUAGUAAUCGUGGAUCAGAAUGCCACGGUGAAUACGUUCCCGGGCCUUGUACACACCGCCCGUCACACCAUGGGAGUGGGUUGCAAAAGAAGUAGGUAGCUUAACCUUCGGGAGGGCGCUUACCACUUUGUGAUUCAUGACUGGGGUGAAGUCGUAACAAGGUAACCGUAGGGGAACCUGCGGUUGGAUCACCUCCUUACCUUAAAGAA